ACAGGAAGUGCACUAGGACUGAAUGAGAGUGCUCCCACACCUUGGUGCACCUAGUGCACUUGGCAAGCAAGCAAUUGGGUUUCAACCCGAGUUAGAAAUCAUGAGAAAGUGAUGAGUAAGCCGGCACACGUCACACAUUCACAAGGAAAGGACAAGAUGUACAUGAGGAGUUCCCAGCUCCAGGAUGCCUGCUGAGAGGAGACGCAGGAAGCAUGGACACGUUCACGGUCUUUCCACAUGCAUGAUCUUUUCCACAUUUCAUCAUCAUCAUCCUCAAUGUACCUGUGAUCAACAUUUGCAUAUGCUGUGCAUUU
Molecule: long non-coding RNA, 314 nt
Organism: Silurus meridionalis
Lineage: Eukaryota; Metazoa; Chordata; Actinopteri; Siluriformes; Siluridae
Exons: 2
Source: RefSeq, a predicted model, not a curated record